Molecule: ribosomal RNA, 450 nt
Filed under: uncultured bacterium
Lineage: Bacteria
Description: partial 16S ribosomal RNA
Rfam family: Bacterial small subunit ribosomal RNA
Source: RNAcentral
GUGGGGAAUUUUGGACAAUGGGCGCAAGCCUGAUCCAGCAAUGCCGCGUGCAGGAAGAAGGCCUUCGGGUUGUAAACUGCUUUUGUACGGAACGAAACGGUCCUGGUUAAUACCUGGGGCUAAUGACGGUACCGUAAGAAUAAGCACCGGCUAACUACGUGCCAGCAGCCGCGGUAAUACGUAGGGUGCGAGCGUUAAUCGGAAUUACUGGGCGUAAAGCGUGCGCAGGCGGUGCUGUAAGACAGGCGUGAAAUCCCCGGGCUUAACCUGGGAACUGCGCUUGUGACUGCACGGCUAGAGUAUGGCAGAGGGGGGUGGAAUUCCACGUGUAGCAGUGAAAUGCGUAGAGAUGUGGAGGAACACCGAUGGCGAAGGCAGCCCCCUGGGCCAAUACUGACGCUCAUGCACGAAAGCGUGGGGAGCAAACAGGAUUAGAUACCCCUGUAGUCC